Molecule: ribosomal RNA, 1601 nt
Filed under: metagenome
Description: bacterial LSU rRNA
Rfam family: Bacterial large subunit ribosomal RNA
Source: RNAcentral
CUGAAUGAGUAGCGAGAUAGAGGUGGGAAUCCUCUAGGCCGAAUAUCCAAGGUUUCCAGGGUAAAGCUGAUCUGCCCUGGGUAAGUCGGGGCCUAAGGUGAGGACGAGAGUCGUAGCCGAUGGACAACAGGUGGAGAUUCCUGUACUAUGAUAUGACAGAACUGUGGGGACACGUGCAGAGAGCGGAAGCCGGGAAUGGGAUCCCGGUGCAAGCGAGGUACCAGCCGCAUUGGAAAAACCGUGCGGCAAUGGGAAGACGUGAUGCGGAGUGAAGUUUAGUAAUGAAGUCCGUGAGCUGUGCGUCAAGAAAAGCCGCUAUUGUUCAUACCAUACCCGUACCGUAAACCGACACAGGUGGAUGAGGAGAGAAUCCUAAGGCCGGCCGAAGAAGCAUUGUCAAGGAACUCGGCAAAAUGACCCCGUAACUUCGGGAGAAGGGGUGCCUGCGAGAGCAGGCCGCAGAGAAUAGGCUCAAGCAACUGUUUAGCAAAAACACAGGUCUAUGCGAAACCGAAAGGUGAGGUAUAUGGGCUGACGCCUGCCCGGUGCUGGAAGGUUAAGAGGAGAGGUUAGCGCAAGCGAAGCUUUGAAUUUAAGCCCCAGUAAACGGCGGCCGUAACAAUAACGGUCCUAAGGUAGCGAAAUUCCUUGUCGGGUAAGUUCCGACCCGCACGAAAGGCGUAAUGAUUUGAGCGCUGUCUCGACAAUGCAUCCGGUGAAAUUGAAGUACCAGUGAAGAUGCUGGUUACCUGCGCCAGGACGGAAAGACCCCAUGGAGCUUUACUCCAGUUUGGUACUGGGAUCCGGUACUGCAUGUACAGGAUAGGUGGGAGGCUAUGAAUCGGUAACGCCAGUUGCCGAGGAGCCGCUGUUGGGAUACCACCCUUGCAGUAUUGGGUUUCUAACCAGCCGCCGUGACCCGGCGGUGGGACAAUGCCAGACGGGGAGUUUGACUGGGGCGGUCGCCUCCGAAAGGGUAUCGGAGGCGCCCAAAGGUUCCCUCAGGAUGGACGGAAACCAUCCAAAGAGUGCAAAGGCAGAAGGGAGCUUGACUGCGACACCGACGGGUGGAGCAGGUACGAAAGUAGGGCUUAGUGAUCCGGUGGUAUUAAGUGGGAAUGCCAUCGCUCAACGGAUAAAAGCUACCCUGGGAUAACAGGCUUAUCACUCCCAAGAGUUCACAUCGACGGAGUGGUUUGGCACCUCGAUGUCGGCUCAUCGCAUCCUGGGGCUGUAGUAGGUCCCAAGGGUUGGGCUGUUCGCCCAUUAAAGCGGUACGCGAGCUGGGUUCAGAACGUCGUGAGACAGUUCGGUCCCUAUCCGGCGUGGGCGAAGGAUAUCUGAGAGGAGCUGUCCUUAGUACGAGAGGACCGGGAUGGACGGGCCGCUGGUGCACCGGUUAGACUGCCAAGUCUAUAGCCGGGUAGCCAAGCCCGGAAGGGAUAAACGCUGAAGGCAUCUAAGCGUGAAGCCCCCCUCAAGAUGAGAUAUCCCAUCCGAAAGGAGUAAACCCCCUUGAAGACGACGAGGUCGAUAGGGCAGAGGUGGAAGUGUGGUAACACAUGGAGCUGACUGCUACUAAUAGGGUGAGGGCUUGACCG